GGAGAGUUGGCAGAGUGGUCGAUUGCGGUGGUCUUGAAAACCAUUGUCCUUCACGGGACCGGGGGUUCGAAUCCCUCACUCUCCGCCA
RNAcentral lists this transfer RNA (88 nucleotides) under Flavobacteriales bacterium. Its description in RNAcentral is "tRNA-Ser". It matches the Rfam family "tRNA". Rfam says of the family: Transfer RNA (tRNA) molecules are approximately 80 nucleotides in length. Lineage: Bacteria; Pseudomonadati; Bacteroidota; Flavobacteriia; Flavobacteriales. The record is from RNAcentral.